Long non-coding RNA from Marmota flaviventris (yellow-bellied marmot), 615 nucleotides. RefSeq lists it as uncharacterized. The record is from RefSeq and is a predicted model, not a curated record. NCBI's taxonomy places the organism in Eukaryota, Metazoa, Chordata, Mammalia, Rodentia, Sciuridae.
UUCUACAGGAGUGUUUGAACAGGGCUCCAGGGCAGCCUUCCAGCCUCAGCCUGUGGCUGCCCACGUUCGGGCAGGCCUCUGUCCGGGUGCUGGCCAUGAUCUGCAUUGCCACUGCCCUCACGCCCUUGGCCUCCAAGCCCGGAGGAAAGCAUGAGAGAGAAAGUCCCUCUAUUCUCAUCUUUACAGAGAAGAGAAUAUAAAGGAGAGGCCAGUGUGGAUGAUGUGAGGGGACGCUCCACCUACACGCCUGGCAGGCAGGAGAGGACGCGGUCACACCAGGGACGUGAGUCUUAAGUCUCAUCAGAGAGAAUCACACGAUUCCAGAAUAGAAUCCUAAAUCCAGCAGCUCGUGACAUUAUAGCUGGAAUCUGGAGCCACAGCACACAAUGUCGAAAGAAAAGCCGGGCCAAGAACAUUCUAAGAUCCCAGGACCAGAAAUCCCAUGUGGCACUGCCAGCUUUGUCUUGUCUGCACAGCACGGAUGCUCAAUCUCCUGUUCCCGUCUCUGGGCAUGCAGACCCUACUCACCUUCCCAAAGCCCUUUUCAUAUUUUCACGUUUCUUUAUUUCUGCUUUUCAAUCCUGUUGCUCCAAUAAAAACCUGCCUCUGUCUCUA